GGGCCCGUAGCCUAGCCUGGAUAGGGCACCGCAUUAGAAUUCAAGAAUUUUAAGGUGCGACUCCUAACAGGUUAUUGCUGGUAGCAAGGCGGUGGUCGAGGGUUCAAAUCCCUCCGGGCCCG
This 122-nucleotide transfer RNA is filed under the name Candidatus Iainarchaeum sp. RNAcentral's name for it is "tRNA-OTHER". It matches the Rfam family "tRNA". Rfam says of the family: Transfer RNA (tRNA) molecules are approximately 80 nucleotides in length. Lineage: Archaea; Nanobdellati; Candidatus Iainarchaeota; Candidatus Iainarchaeia; Candidatus Iainarchaeales; Candidatus Iainarchaeaceae. The record is from RNAcentral.